Molecule: ribosomal RNA, 599 nt
Filed under: uncultured bacterium
Lineage: Bacteria
Description: bacterial SSU rRNA
Rfam family: Bacterial small subunit ribosomal RNA
Source: RNAcentral
CUGGGAUUAAUACCGCAUAUGAUUUAGAUUUUAAAGGUUCUAAAUGAAAGUUCAGGCGGUUAGAGAUGGGUGUGCGUCUGAUUAGCUAGUUGGUAAGGUAACGGCUUACCAAGGCGAUGAUCAGUAGGGGGCGUGAGAGCGUGGACCCCCACACGGGUACUGAGACACGGACCCGACUCCUACGGGAGGCAGCAGUAAGGAAUAUUGGUCAAUGGGCGCAAGCCUGAACCAGCCAUCCAGCGUGCAGGAAGAAGGCCCUAUGGGUUGUAAACUGCUUUUGUCAGGGAAUAAACCCUUGGAUUUACUCCGAGGCUGAAGGUACCUGAAGAAUAAGCACCGGCUAACUCCGUGCCAGCAGCCGCGGUAAUACGGAGGGUGCGAGCGUUAUCCGGAAUUACUGGGUUUAAAGGGUGCGUAGGCGGCUUGGUAAGUCAGGAGUGAAAGUUUGCGGCUCAACCGUAAAAUUGCUUUUGAUACUGCCAGGCUGGAAUCAGGUUGAGGUCAGCGGAAUGUGGCAUGUAGCGGUGAAAUGCAUAGAUAUGCCAUAGAACACCAAUUGCGAAGGCAGCUGGCUAGACCUGUAUUGACGCUGAGGCACG